Molecule: RNA transcript, 1870 nt
Organism: Gossypium raimondii (Peruvian cotton)
Lineage: Eukaryota; Viridiplantae; Streptophyta; Magnoliopsida; Malvales; Malvaceae
Exons: 3
Source: RefSeq, a predicted model, not a curated record
AUGCCACAAAAAUAUUCCCAAAAAUAAUAUCAUGUGCUGUUAAGUAAAAUUAAAAAAUAAAAACAAAUAUAUUUAACUUUAUUGAUAGAAAACAUUACUUAAAAUCAUAAUUUAUUUUAAGUAAUGAAAUGCUUCCACCACAAUUAAUUGUAUUAAAAAAAUUACUACAUCUAUCUUAACUUCCGUCCAAUCAAACGUCUUCACUCGCCCUAUGUUGCCCUAGACACGUGUUGCCACUGUGUUAAUUUGUAGCUAUGAUUAUGCUUCUCAUAAAAAAAAAACCCUUGAAAAUAAAACUGAAACUCAAGAGUGGAAAAAAAAAUAAAAAAGAAGGAUUGAGAUUUUGAAGAGAAAAAGAAGGGAAAACUGAGAAAAUCUGCGGUUUGUUUUCUCGCGUGGAAGAGAUGAACAGUGAUGAGAAAUGGAGGUAUGUUACCUACAGAUGGGAUUCGCAAGAGAAGACGGUGAACAUCAAUCCGAUAAUGCUAAGAUUCCGUCCAAUCGCUCCGAAACCGGUGACCGGAGAGUCUGGUUCCGGUGGGGUUCAGUUUGGUAACAAAAACUUGUUGCUUUGUAAGCCAAGAGCUAAAAGAAAAUACGUUAGGGUUCGAAAGAAUAAUAUCAAGAGAAAGAAAAGAUCAUCAUCAUCAUCACCAUCAGAUCAUGAAGAAUCUUCAAAAAAAACUGAAAAGGUUGUUACUUUGCAGUUAUUACCAGAGAAAACUGAAGCAAUUGGAUCAAUUAACGAUGAAAACGGUGUAGUUUUGGAGGAAAAUAAUCAAGAUCUACCUUCGUUGUUUAACUUGAACAACAGCCGUAGGAUUAAUCGUAUCGCUCCUUUGGAGGAGCCUGAUCGGAAGGCGGUGGUGAGUCAAACGGAAAGGGCAACGGUGGUUGAGUCGUGGGUUACGGUGGAGUGCGUGACGGAGACUUGCAUGGAUGGGAGAGAGCUAGGAAGUACUGACGUCGAAAAGAUGAAGAAUCUUGAGGCCGACACGUGUCCAGGGUUUAUAUCCGACGGUUUAAAUAGGGUUCAGUGGGUUAACGGGGCAUAUAAGAGGAUGUUGAUGGCGGGGGAAGGGCGUGGGGGGUGGUUGCCGCCGGAGAUAACGGCUUGGCUUGUGAUUAAACAAGAGUUGCCUACGUUUUGCACUGCAUUUUCAUGCAAGGUAAGGUUGCAGUUCAUGUGGCGGAACAAGUGUUCCACAAUAAUGUUGCCGUGUGAUGCCUGGAAAAUGGACGGCGGCGGCGGUUUUGCAUGGCGGCUCGAUGUCGAGUCUGCUCUCAGUCUCGGCCAUUAAGGAACUUUAUAGAAGUUAGGUUAGCAAGGCAGGAUUUGGUGGCAGCUGGGGACAAAGUACAAGCUUAUUUAUUAUUUAUUUUUAUGAGGAUGAUUAGGAGACAGGUGGAAUGAAAACUGCCCAAUGACAAAGUACAGGUCCAUCUUUUUUUGACACAGCAUAGUUAUUUCCGACAAAACUAGGUAGCUCAGGUAAACUUGUAAUGGAGGGCUGAUGGAUAUAUGGGCGAGAAAGAAGGGAACAUGUACACGUCUCUGCUGGAAGUGUAUAUAUGAAUAUGCGAUGGUAAGUGUUUGAACUUAGAGAAUGAAUUAAUGUAUUAUAGAUUCGAUGAAAGGUAGGUCUUGAAGUCUUAGUUUUUCUUUUGGUGAAGAAAUGAUGAAGAUGGAUUAAGGCAUUGUAAAAAGGGUGAAACUCUGAAGAUAAUUAAACCCCUAAUUUGUCUACCAAUAUCCAUAAAUCAAGACUGGUGUGUUUUCUUUUGGGCCUACUACAAUUACACCAACAAAAAAAAAACCUUUUUUGCUGCAUUUGUGUGUUUCACAUGUAGAGACUCCGGUCUAAUUCUU